Long non-coding RNA from Dunckerocampus dactyliophorus (ringed pipefish), 2592 nucleotides. RefSeq lists it as uncharacterized. Lineage: Eukaryota; Metazoa; Chordata; Actinopteri; Syngnathiformes; Syngnathidae. The record is from RefSeq and is a predicted model, not a curated record. The transcript is spliced from 3 exons.
UCUGAGGAAGCGACUUCCUCCUGGACAAGAGCUAAAGAGAUCCACAACCUUAACAAAUUAAGCCUCCAAGAUCUGAUGAGAAAGCCAUGGCCCACCUCCACUGAAACCCACACGAGGAACCAAUGGAAGAGAAACCUUCGCUCUAUGCUGUGUAACUCUACUUUUUCUUCUUCCUCAAGAAGGAUCGGCAUCAACAAGAAUCUUUAAGAGAAGAGCACAAGACAGGAAGUUACGAGAGCAAAGGCUAUAAUUGGAGCCAUCAUCUCCGGCUGAGAGGCUAAAUGAGGGAUCCCUCGACUCCGGGAUUACCCUUUUAUUGGGAAGACGUUCCGCUAAGCCUCCGCCACUGACACAUAUUCCUCUUCUAUGGCCCAUUCUCGUCCAAAUAUGUCCUGUCAGGGAGGCUUACCCAAAUCUACAUAAUCCCUUUUCAGCACAAUUAAAGAUACCAGUGAACAAUAAAAUUGCUUGCUCUCUGGUUUGUUUCCUGUCGCUUUGAGGUGUGGAAGGUUACACACGCGACAAUAUUUCAACUUUGCAAAAAAACUCAAACUACUUUGUGUUUUUGUUCUGGCUUUGAUGGCAUGGAAAAUGAUGGCAUGAAAACAAAAGCACACAAUAAAACACAUACUUAACAAAUGUGCUACAAAAUGUUCAAGGAAAUGAUUGAAGAAUUGUAAUUGUAAUUAGUAAUAAUUAGUGUAAUUUACUGUAAUUUUAGCUGCCCUGAUCGCAGUGUUGGCUGCACUUUGUUAUGUUCUUAGCUGCUGGAACAUCAACAUUUCCCCAAUGUGGGCAAAUAAAGGUUUGUUUUAAAUUAAAACUUCAUACGUUGAAUUAAAAUACAGUACAUAAACAGUAAUCCCUCGUUUAUCGCAGGUAAUUGGUUCCAGACGCCACCAAUCGAUAGGUGAAUUUCCACGAAGUAGGAUUCCUUCUUUAUAAGUGGAAUAUUUCCAUAGUUAUAUAGACCCUGUUUACAACCUUCUAAAUACGGGUUUUAACAUUAUUAGAGCCCUCUAGACAUGAAAUAACACUUCUAUAGUCACUUUUACGCUCCUAUUACAUAAUACAGUAAACAUAAUAAGAGAAAAUACAUAAGACUUGUGCUCGUGUGUGUUGCAGUAAAUGUGUUCCAGUGCUAGGGGAGCGGAGUGCGGGGGAGUCAGGAAGUGACAUCGGGGGUUUCAGAGUUGAGUUUUAGCUCGGCCUGGGUGGAGGCCACAACAGUAGCCUGUGCUAGGGAUUGUUGUGGCUGUUAGAUCAUUCAAACCUGCAAUUAAAGCCUGUUGUUCCACCAGUCAAGCAUGGUGCUUGUGUGUCUCACCCAACAUUACAGUAACAUUACUGGCACCUAGUGAUCAGUGUUGAAUACUACAUAUCGUCACAAAGUCUUUGCACGCGUCCUCUGAAUGCCUUAUAUUUGUAUUUUACUUCAUUUUUAUGCUGGAAAAUGCUUUAUUAGGCCAAAAAUAUGUAAAACUGACUAAUAAUAGGCCAUAUUCAACCACAAAACAGCAUUAUUUACUAAUAUAUUUUUGAAAAAACGUGAUAGAGUGAAGCAGCAAAAUUGAAAGCACAAAGCAGCGAGGGAUGACUAUUAUUUCCCAUUAAAUUCCAUUAAAACAAACUGAAAAUGUUUUAUACUUUACAAAGAUAAUAAUUCUUUAGACCUUUGCGUAUACAGUGGAAUCUCGGUUUGCGUCCACCCUGGUUUGUGUGUUUUUUCGGUUAACGUAAAAAAAAUUGCCUCAGUUUGCAUGCGUUCUCCGGUUAGCGUACAAGACAGUGCACGUUUUGUCGUGUUAUUAAGUCUAACUGUAUUAAAGUUUUAAAUGCAUAAAACAAUUCUAAAUGCAUAUAAAUGAUGAAUGAAAGGGAAAACUAAACGUUUAAGAUUACUUUUAACUUAAUUGAAGGCAUGAUUGUUUCCAAAGACACAAUGUGGCAGCGAGACCUCACACAGACACCACCUUCCUGCCACAAGUUAUUUCUUGAAUUCAAUAGUGUUUUUUGUCUUCUUUAUCAAAACGCUGGCACUUGCAACUUUUUUUGGCUCCAUUUUGGGUUAUUGAGGUGAGAAAAACCAAUAAAUUCAAGAAAUAACUCAUGGUAAAAGAGGAAGGUGGCAUCUGUGUGGUGUCUCGCUGUGUCUUUGGGAACACUCACGUCAAAAAUUCACAUCUUCAAUGAAAGCAAAAGUAACCAUAAAUGUUCAUUUAUCCUUUUCUGUCGUCAUUUGUAUGUAUUUAUAUGCAUUUGCAAUUGUUUUCUGCAUGUAAAACUAUAAAAACGUGUUUUGUGUUAACAUUUUUGGAACGCAUUCAUUGGAUUUAUGUGAAAAACUGAUUUGCUUAUUUGCUUAGCGUCCGUUUUGGUUACAGUCGGACCUUCUGGAACACAUUGAUGCUAUAACCAAGGUUCAACUCUAAUUGGUAACUUAACAACAAUCAGUCAGUAGUAGAAACUGUUACCGGAGUUCUCACAGCAUUUCAGUGAAGAAUAAAUCAAUUAUUUCAGUUACAACUAAAUAGUUACAUAAUAUAUCCAGCCAUUUUAUUGCUGCUUAUCCUUACUACGGUCGCGGGGGCA